Molecule: ribosomal RNA, 458 nt
Filed under: uncultured bacterium
Lineage: Bacteria
Description: SSU rRNA
Rfam family: Bacterial small subunit ribosomal RNA
Source: RNAcentral
AGAAUCAACGCUGGCGGCGUGCCUAACACAUGCAAGUCGAACGAGAAAGUGGAGCAAUCCAUGAGUAAAGUAGCGACCGGGUGAGUAACACGUGACUAACCUACCUUCGAGUGGGGGAUAACAUCGGGAAACCGAUGCUAAUACCGCAUAACAUCGCAAGAUCAAAGCAGCAAUGCGCUGGAAGAGGGGGUCGCGGCUGAUUAGCUAGUUGGCGGGUAACGGCCCACCAAGGCGAAGAUCGGUAGCCGGCCUGAGAGGGCGCACGGCCACACUGGAACUGAAACACGGUCCAGACUCCUACGGGAGGCAGCAGUGGGGAAUUUUGCGCAAUGGGGGAAACCCUGACGCAGCAACGCCGCGUGGAGGAUGAAGCCCCUUGGGUGUAAACUCCUUUCGACCAAGACGAUAAUGACGGUACUGGUGGAAGAAGCACCGGCUAACUCUGUGCCAGCAGCCGC